Molecule: transfer RNA, 74 nt
Filed under: Danionella cerebrum
Lineage: Eukaryota; Metazoa; Chordata; Actinopteri; Cypriniformes; Danionidae
Description: tRNA-Met
Rfam family: tRNA
About the family: Transfer RNA (tRNA) molecules are approximately 80 nucleotides in length. Their secondary structure includes four short double-helical elements and three loops (D, anti-codon, and T loops). Further hydrogen bonds mediate the characteristic L-shaped molecular structure. tRNAs have two regions of fundamental functional importance: the anti-codon, which is responsible for specific mRNA codon recognition, and the 3' end, to which the tRNAs corresponding amino acid is attached (by aminoacyl-tRNA synthetases). tRNAs cope with the degeneracy of the genetic code in two manners: having more than one tRNA (with a specific anti-codon) for a particular amino acid; and 'wobble' base-pairing, i.e. permitting non-standard base-pairing at the 3rd anti-codon position.
Source: RNAcentral
GGCGCUGUGACUUAGUAGGUUAAAGUCCUUGUCUCAUAAACAUUAGAUCCUGGGUUUAAUUCCCAGCGGUGCCU